RNAcentral lists this ribosomal RNA (977 nucleotides) under uncultured organism. Its description in RNAcentral is "bacterial SSU rRNA". It matches the Rfam family "Bacterial small subunit ribosomal RNA", at positions 477 to 1467 of the family's 1533-position model. The record is from RNAcentral.
ACCCUAAGAAGAAGCGUCGGCUAACUACGUGCCAGCAGCCGCGGUAAGACGUAUGACGCGAGCGUUAUCCGGAAUUACUGGGCGUAAAGGGCCAGCAGGCGGCUUGGUAAGUUGUGCGUGAAAGCCUCGUGCUCAACGCGAGGAAGCCGGACAAUACUGUCAAGCUAGAGGGCAUCAGAGGGGAGUGGAAUUCCCGGAGUAGCGGUAAAAUGCGCAGAUAUCGGGAGGAACACCGAUGGCGAAGGCAGCUCCCUGGGAUGCACCUGACGCUAAGAGGCGAAAGCUAGGGGAGCGGACAGGAUUAGAGACCCUGGUAGUCCUAGCUGUAAACGCUGGGUGCUAGGUGUGGGACGUAGAAGUUCCGUGCCGGAGCAAACGCGAUAAGCACCCCGCCUGGGAAUUACGGUCGCAAGGCUAAAACUCAAACGAAUUGACGGGGCCCCGCACAAGCAGCGGAGCGUGUGGUUCAAUUCGAUGCUACACGAAGAACCUUACCUGGGUUUGACAUGUACGUGGUACGAAGGCGAAAGCCUAAGGACCCUUCGGGGAGCGUACACAGGUGCUGCAUGGCUGUCGUCAGCUCGUGCCGUGAGGUGUCGGGUUAAGUCCCGUAACGAGCGCAACCCUUGCCCUUAGUUACAAGUGUCUAAGGGGCCCGCCGGCGGGAAGCCGGAGGAAGGUGGGGAUGACAUCCAGCCAGCCCGGCCCUUAUGUCCAGGGCUACACACACGCUACAAUGGUCAGUACAAAGGGUAGCGAAGUCGCGAGGCGGAGCGAAUCUCAACAAAGCUGAUCGUAGUUCGGAUUGCAGGCUGCAACCCGCCUGCAUGAAGCUGGAGUUGCUAGUAACCGCGCGUCAGCCAUAGUGCGGUGAAUACGUACCCGGGGCUUGUACACACCGCCCGUCACGUCAUGGGAGUCGGUAACGCCUGAAGCCGGUAGUCUGGCCCGCAAGGGGGACGCUGUCGAAGGCGGGA